This 235-nucleotide unclassified non-coding RNA is filed under the name Hevea brasiliensis (rubber tree). Lineage: Eukaryota; Viridiplantae; Streptophyta; Magnoliopsida; Malpighiales; Euphorbiaceae. The record is from RNAcentral.
AAUCAAUUAGGUUUGCAGACUAUGUGUUCUAAAUUCCCUGUUGAUUGAUUUCUCCAUGACUUUCUGAAUGUAAUUUUAGUACUUAAAAGACUAAGGGAACCGACUUGUUAGUUCAACUAAAACUCAUGUAUGUCGGUGAGGAUUAGGUCCAGCAAAUCUUUACUCUUCCAUAAGAAUGGAUUACUGGUGCAUAUGACCAGGCAUUUUGGUCUAGUAUAUGCUUAUGAUUGAUAUC